UUUGCCCACAUCAGGCUGGAGAGCAGAGAGCCCCAGGAGUCUAAAGAGAGGCGGCCCUGCUGCUUGGCAGUUUCCAACCCCACCUCUUUCCUUGAUAAAUUAAUGGCUCAAGGUUAAGCAUCACGACCACCAGUCCUAUCUCCAUGUCUGCUGCCUGCCUAGAAGCCCGAGAGAAAGUGUUGGGGAAGAAAGAAGCAGAGGGCUGAGGUGCCCCAAGAACAGCCUGGAAAUCUAUCUGUGGCCGUUGUUACCCAUGAGCAUGGGCCUGGAGGGUCUGUGGGAGAGAGAGCCUUCUUACUGCAUAUCUUUUUGUAUCAUGUGUAUUUUUGCCAGUUGCGUAUUUUCAUAAUAAUAAAAAAGGAAAAACCCUCUU
This 373-nucleotide long non-coding RNA is filed under the name Homo sapiens (human). RNAcentral's name for it is "HSALNT0001163". The record is from RNAcentral. Lineage: Eukaryota; Metazoa; Chordata; Mammalia; Primates; Hominidae.